Lucilia cuprina (Australian sheep blowfly) is the source of this 422-nucleotide long non-coding RNA. RefSeq lists it as uncharacterized. The transcript has 2 exons. NCBI's taxonomy places the organism in Eukaryota, Metazoa, Arthropoda, Insecta, Diptera, Calliphoridae. The record is from RefSeq and is a predicted model, not a curated record.
UUGUAUCUUUUUAAAAUGUUCCAAUAACUCUUCGAAAUUUAUAUUACUUUUAUAUUGUAGGGAAUGCUUUUCGUUGCUGAAAAAGAAAGGAAAAAGGGGAAAAAAUAUUAUAUUAAGGACUAACAUCUCAACCUUCGGGGAAUAUGUAAAACAUUUGAUAACUUACAUGGGCUGUUGUCCCCAGUAGUUGGGUACACAUUGUAAACGAUUCUUUAGCAUAUUAAAUGCAUCCGUUUGAGGUAGUAACAUUAGUAUUCCAAAUAAGGCAUGUGCCAAAUAUUGAGCAUCAGCACAAUUAUUUGCUUUCGAAACUAAGAAAUAUGUGUUUACAACUUACAUGCAAAAAUGGGCGUUUCUAUUAAUUGCACCAGCUUAUCCAGUUCAUUUAAAAGUUCCAAAGUUAUCUCUACAUCAGCACUGUU